This 656-nucleotide ribosomal RNA is filed under the name Salmonella enterica. Its description in RNAcentral is "partial 23S ribosomal RNA". It matches the Rfam family "Bacterial large subunit ribosomal RNA", at positions 1 to 688 of the family's 2925-position model. The record is from RNAcentral. Lineage: Bacteria; Pseudomonadati; Pseudomonadota; Gammaproteobacteria; Enterobacterales; Enterobacteriaceae.
GGGUUGUGAGGUUAAGCGACUAAGCGUACACGGUGGAUGCCCUGGCAGUCAGAGGCGAUGAAGGACGUGCUAAUCUGCGAUAAGCGCCGGUAAGGUGAUAUGAACCGUUAUAACCGGCGAUUUCCGAAUGGGGAAACCCAGUGUGAUUCGUCACACUAUCAUUACGUGAAUACAUAGCGUAAUGAAGCGAACCGGGGGAACUGAAACAUCUAAGUACCCCGAGGAAAAGAAAUCAACCGAGAUUCCCCCAGUAGCGGCGAGCGAACGGGGAGGAGCCCAGAGCCUGAAUCAGCAUGUGUGUUAGUGGAAGCGUCUGGAAAGGCGCGCGAUACAGGGUGACAGCCCCGUACACAAAAGCGCAUGUGCUGUGAGCUCGAUGAGUAGGGCGGGACACGUGGUAUCCUGUCUGAAUAUGGGGGGACCAUCCUCCAAGGCUAAAUACUCCUGACUGACCGAUAGUGAACCAGUACCGUGAGGGAAAGGCGAAAAGAACCCCGGCGAGGGGAGUGAAAAAGAACCUGAAACCGUGUACGUACAAGCAGUGGGAGCACAGGUUUACCUGUGUGACUGCGUACCUUUUGUAUAAUGGGUCAGCGACUUAUAUUCUGUAGCAAGGUUAACCGAAUAGGGGAGCCGGAGGGAAACCGAGUCUUAAC